This 450-nucleotide ribosomal RNA is filed under the name uncultured bacterium. RNAcentral describes it as "partial 16S ribosomal RNA". It matches the Rfam family "Bacterial small subunit ribosomal RNA", at positions 354 to 796 of the family's 1533-position model. The record is from RNAcentral.
GUGGGGAAUUUUGGACAAUGGGCGAAAGCCUGAUCCAGCCAUGCCGCGUGCAGGAUGAAGGCCUUCGGGUUGUAAACUGCUUUUGUACGGAACGAAAAGACUCUGGUUAAUACCUGGGGUCCAUGACGGUACCGUAAGAAUAAGCACCGGCUAACUACGUGCCAGCAGCCGCGGUAAUACGUAGGGUGCAAGCGUUAAUCGGAAUUACUGGGCGUAAAGCGUGCGCAGGCGGUUAUAUAAGACAGAUGUGAAAUCCCCGGGCUCAACCUGGGAACUGCAUUUGUGACUGUAUAGCUAGAGUACGGCAGAGGGGGAUGGAAUUCCGCGUGUAGCAGUGAAAUGCGUAGAUAUGCGGAGGAACACCGAUGGCGAAGGCAAUCCCCUGGGCCUGCACUGACGCUCAUGCACGAAAGCGUGGGGAGCAAACAGGAUUAGAUACCCCUGUAGUCC